UAAUCCUAAAAUCGAUAAAUAAAUAUCGAAGGAAUUCUCGCGCUUAUCAGUGGUAAAACAGGAGCCAGUCUUGAUUGGAAAUAUAUUAAGGACGCUCUCAUUGUGCGCAUUGCGCGGACAAGAGAAAUGAGCCCACUCCAUGUUCGAGUUCCACAAUUCGCGGAGACCUAAGAAUCGGAGCCUACUUUGGAUAAGACAAAUAAAUUGUUAACAGAUAUAUGUUUACCCCACUUUUAACAGAAAUCAGGCUACAGUGAGAUCAAUAAAACCGACCAACCUUGGAGAAGAUUUUAAACGGGCUAUAAAAGAAAGAGAAAUGUAAUUCGCUCAAAAGAAUAUAAAACGGCAGAAUCAAAAAGGCAGGUCAGAAAACAGAAAUGCACAAUUACAAUGAGGCGGCAAAUUUUCAACAAAGAGCUUUUGACAAGAGACAUGUUAUUUAAUAAAUGAAAACAAUAAGUCACCGCUACCAUAUAUGUAUUUCGGCAUGUGCUGGAAAUCGUGCGAUUUCAUUUUAAUAUCGAAAUUUCAAAUUAAUUAGAGGUAUGAUAAAAUUCACUCGAUUCGAACUUUAAUUCCAAACAGCUGGUAAUCAAACAACUGACAUUUAAUAAUAAUUUUGUGUAAAAUAUUUUUGUAAAUAUGAGCAGAAACUGUUAAAUGGAAUUGUUUCUGCUUACUUGCUCUUUUGAAAUAAUUGGAAAAAUCAUGAGAUAGAUUCAGGAUGCAUUAUUUAUAUAUUCAAUGUAAGUACAUAAACGUAUAAAGCUGUAUGCCCAGCGUUGACGUACUGAAUCUGAUUAUUUAUAGAAUCCUUUCGUUC
Molecule: long non-coding RNA, 823 nt
Organism: Zeugodacus cucurbitae (melon fly)
Lineage: Eukaryota; Metazoa; Arthropoda; Insecta; Diptera; Tephritidae
Exons: 3
Source: RefSeq, a predicted model, not a curated record